CAAAACAUAAACUUGAUUGAGCACGGCAGCACGGCGACUUUACAAUUCCUAGGUGUUGUAAGCUGACUUAUUUUAAAAGUGUGAUUUUAUAUUUACAGGCUCUUGUUUACCUGACUUCGCAAUGUCGGAAGGAAACGAGCCAAAGAAGAAAUCUUUUGAGGAAUCAAGGGCUGAAUGUAGCUCCACUAUGAGGACCUCAAAUAUUGAUGCAGAUCUGGAUCAUAUUAAUCUUUCGCCGAUGAUACGCCACCUUGUGGAAAACAUGACUGAAGAAGUGACCUUCCAGAUUUCAAGAGUGCAGAACAUUUAGAGCAAGCCGCUCUGAUUCAUAAGAUCCUUGGUGCUUUGUUUAAUGAAGUGCAAAUGAUUGACAUCAAAAUGGACAAGGAUAGGCCACAAAGCCAUCACCCUUCUCAGCUGACUCAAAAGGAAAUGACCAAAACAGACUCUGUGACACUCCUGUUCCCCCUGAUGUGCCUAUCAAAGGGAUUUCCCCUGUUCUCGUGUGUCCCAGUGCUGGAAUGAAGGACUCGUCAUUGUUCACAUGAAACCAUCACUCAGGUGGUAGACACCAUCUUCGAAUGGGAGAAACGUGUUCCCAUCACUAGAAGACUGGAGGAAUUAAUCUCAGAUACCAAAAUUAUGGAAUAUUCUCAUAAUAUUGCAGGUGAAGUACAGAAGUUCCUAAAAAGUUAUCAUGGCGUCCAGACUAUAUCUGUGCCAGUGGGGAAGAAUCUCUCAGACUCCAUUGUGUACAAGUUGCAACCCAGAGCCGUAGGAAAAAAUGAAAUUCUAUCAGGAUUCAUUUACGGUUACGUAGAGGAGGCUGUGAAGCGACUUGUCCUUUCGU
Molecule: long non-coding RNA, 850 nt
Organism: Alosa sapidissima (American shad)
Lineage: Eukaryota; Metazoa; Chordata; Actinopteri; Clupeiformes; Clupeidae
Exons: 4
Source: RefSeq, a predicted model, not a curated record